This 359-nucleotide ribosomal RNA is filed under the name uncultured soil bacterium. RNAcentral's name for it is "bacterial SSU rRNA". It matches the Rfam family "Bacterial small subunit ribosomal RNA", at positions 26 to 383 of the family's 1533-position model. The record is from RNAcentral.
AGAUUGAACGCUGGCGGCAGGCCUAACACAUGCAAGUCGAGCGGUAGAGAGGUGCUUGCAUCUCUUGAGAGCGGCGGACGGGUGAGUAAUGCCUAGGAAUCUGCCUAGUGGUGGGGGAUAACGUUCGGAAACGGACGCCAAUACCGCAUACGUCCUACGGGAGAAAGCGGGGGACCUUCGGGCCUCGCGCCAUUAGAUGAGCCUAGGUCGGAUUAGCUAGUUGGUGAGGUAAUGGCUCACCAAGGCGACGAUCCGUAACUGGUCUGAGAGGAUGAUCAGUCACACUGGAACUGAGACACGGUCCAGACUCCUACGGGAGCAGCAGUGGGGAAUAGUUGGACAAAGUGGGGACGAAAGCC